This 579-nucleotide long non-coding RNA is filed under the name Trifolium pratense (red clover). RNAcentral describes it as "long non-coding RNA (TPRA_LNC006165)". The record is from RNAcentral. Lineage: Eukaryota; Viridiplantae; Streptophyta; Magnoliopsida; Fabales; Fabaceae.
GUCCCACAACCUAGUUAUUCUGACUGUGACAGUGGACUUGGGAGUAACACCAGAGAGAUCGUCGAGAAAGAGAGGCACACCAUCAGGUAUGACUUCCUUAGUCCUACACAAAAGGAAAGAAUUUCCCUCACAUAAAAAAAUGGAAAAUGGGAAAAUGGCACCAUAAACAAAUUUAUAAAAAAGGGAAAAAGUGUUUUACUUUUUGAGACUAUUUUCAGCAGGUGACAUGGUGGAAAAUGGAAGAGGAUAUCACUAUAAUAGCCAAAUGGAGCAAGGCAAUAUGCAUGGAAUGAUAGUGAAAUGUGUCUAACUUAUAAAGGUGCAAAUUGUUUAAUGAUGUGUGUUAUAUUUGAAGGAAUGGGAAGGGGCAGAAUAUUUGAUGAGAAUGUCAAUUAAAGUUGAUACUUAUUUUGUAACUGAUAUUAGGAAUAUAAGUUAAUUGGGUCAUUAUCUCCAAUAAUUAUUGAUACUGCAAUUUUUAUCUUUGUUGGUUAAUCUUUUGUGUAAAUAGUCUUUUGAUGGGAAAAGGGAGUGACGUGCCCAUAAAUUUAUAUUUAGUGGAUGUAUGCAUCUAUANNN